AUGCCGGCUGGGACGCGAUCUCAGACUUGGUUGGCUCCUACGGUUGGCAAUGCAAAGAUGAACGUGGAUGCUGCUGUGUCUAGCAAUGGAUUCGGGGCUGUAGGUGCAAUUUGCAGAGAUGAUAGUGGCAUGUUCUUGGGGGCCUCAACACUCUAUUUCAACCACAUUGUUGAUCCGACGACUUUGGAAGCACUUGCCAUCAGAGAAGCCCUGGCUUUAGCGGAUGACUUGUAUGAGCGACGGAUUCAAGUGGCUUCAGACUGUAAGGUGGUGGUACAAGAUCUGAAGAUGGAUAACUCGUCAAGCUACAGUGCCAUUGUACAUGAGAUAAUAGAACGCUCGUCGUUAUUUGAUUUUUGCACUUUUAGUCAUGAACCUAGGAGCUCAAAUUAUAAAGCUCACAACUUAGCGAAGCAUGCUUUAUCUCUUGGUAGUGGCCGACAUGUGUGGUUGGGGCAUCCCGGGAAUUUACCUUCCGUCCCUGUAAACAUUGUGACGAUUUAA
This 504-nucleotide ribosomal RNA is filed under the name Triticum aestivum (bread wheat). RNAcentral's name for it is "partial small subunit ribosomal RNA". The record is from RNAcentral. Lineage: Eukaryota; Viridiplantae; Streptophyta; Magnoliopsida; Poales; Poaceae.